RNAcentral lists this ribosomal RNA (253 nucleotides) under uncultured bacterium. RNAcentral's name for it is "partial 16S ribosomal RNA". It matches the Rfam family "Bacterial small subunit ribosomal RNA", at positions 524 to 776 of the family's 1533-position model. The record is from RNAcentral.
UACGUAGGGUGCGAGCGUUGUCCGGAAUUACUGGGCGUAAAGAGCUCGUAGGUGGUUUGUCGCGUUGUUCGUGAAAACCGGGGGCUUAACCCUCGGCGUGCGGGCGAUACGGGCAGACUGGAGUACUGCAGGGGAGACUGAAAUUCCUGGUGUAGCGGUGGAAUGCGCAGAUAUCAGGAGGAACACCGGUGGCGAAGGCGGGUCUCUGGGCAGUAACUGACGCUGAGGAGCGAAAGCGUGGGGAGCGAACAGG